RNAcentral lists this ribosomal RNA (427 nucleotides) under uncultured bacterium. RNAcentral's name for it is "bacterial SSU rRNA". It matches the Rfam family "Bacterial small subunit ribosomal RNA", at positions 917 to 1345 of the family's 1533-position model. The record is from RNAcentral.
GGGCCCGCACAAGCAGUGGAGCAUGUGGUUUAAUUCGAUGCAACGCGAAGAACCUUACCCAGGCUUGACAUAUAGAGGACCGCUCUAGAGAUAGAGUUUCCCGCAAGGGCCUCUAUACAGGUGCUGCAUGGCUGUCGUCAGCUCGUGCCGUGAGGUGUUGGGUUAAGUCCCGCAACGAGCGCAACCCUUGUCGUUAGUUACCAACACGUAAUGGUGGGGACUCUAACGAGACUGCCUAGGUUAACUAGGAGGAAGGUGAGGAUGACGUCAAGUCCGCAUGGCCUUUAUGUCUGGGGCUACACACGUGCUACAAUGGUCGGUACAGAAAGCAGCCACUAUGCGAAUAGGAGCUAAUCUUUAAAACCGAUCUCAGUUCGGAUCGCAGUCUGCAACUCGACUGCGUGAAGCUGGAAUCGCUAGUAAUCGG